This 71-nucleotide transfer RNA is filed under the name Harmonia quadripunctata (cream-streaked ladybird beetle). Its description in RNAcentral is "tRNA-Lys". The record is from RNAcentral. Lineage: Eukaryota; Metazoa; Arthropoda; Insecta; Coleoptera; Coccinellidae.
CAUUAGGUGACUGAAAGUUAAGUAAUGGUCUCUUAAACCAGUUUAUAGUAAUUUACAACUACUUCUAAUGA